AGAGUUUGAUCCUGGCUCAGGACGAACGCUGACGGUGUGCUUUAGGCAUGCAAGUCGAACGAGAAAGCCCUUCGGGGUGAGUAAAGUGGCGAACGGGUGAGUAACACGUGGGCAACCUGCCCCUCGCAGGGGGACAACCGGAGGAAACUCCGGCUAAUACCCCGUACGCUUGUUGGAUCGCAUGGUCCGGCAAGGAAAGGUAGCUUCGGCCAUCCGGCGAGGGAUGGGCCCGCGUUGCAUUAGCUAGUUGGUGGGGUAACGGCCUACCAAGGCGACGAUGCGUAGCUGGUCUGAGAGGAUGAUCAGCCACACUGGGACUGAGACACGGCCCAGACUCCUACGGGAGGCAGCAGCCAGGAAUCUUGGGCAAUGGGCGAAAGCCUGACCCAGCAACACCGUGUGGGCGAUGAAGGCCUUAGGGUCGUAAAGCCCUGUUGAUAGGGACGAAGGGCGAAGGGUUAAUAGCCCCUAGCUUGACGGUACCUUUCGAGGAAGCCCCGGCUAACUACGUGCCAGCAGCCGCGGUAAUACGUAGGGGGGCGAGCGUUGUCCGGAAUUAUUGGGCGUAAAGAGCGUGUAGGCGGUUCGGUAAGUCUGCUGUGAAAUCCUGGGGCUCAACCCUGGGCGUGCAGCGGAUACUGCCGGGCUAGAGGGUGGUAGAGGCGAGUGGAAUUCCGAGUGUAGCGGUGAAAUGCGCAGAUAUUCGGAGGAACACCAGUAGCGAAGGCGGCUCGCUGGGCCACACCUGACGCUGAGACGCGAAAGCGUGGGGAGCGAACAGGAUUAGAUACCCUAGUAGUCC
This 802-nucleotide ribosomal RNA is filed under the name uncultured bacterium. RNAcentral's name for it is "bacterial SSU rRNA". It matches the Rfam family "Bacterial small subunit ribosomal RNA", at positions 8 to 796 of the family's 1533-position model. The record is from RNAcentral.